UGGGGAAUCUUCCGCAAUGGACGAAAGUCUGACGGGGCAACGCCGCGUGUAUGAUGAAGGUCUUCGGAUUGUAAAGUACUGUCAUUGGGGAAGAACGGUUUUCUUGAAAAGAUUGAGAAGACAUGACGGUACCCAAGGAGGAAGCCCCGGCUAACUACGUGCCAGCAGCCGCGGUAAUACGUAGGGGGCAAGCGUUGUCCGGAAUUAUUGGGCGUAAAGGGCGCGUAGGCGGGCCUUUAAGUCCGGUGUGAAAGAUCAGGGCUCAACCCUGAGAGUGCAUCGGAAACUGGAGGCCUUGAGGACAGGAGAGGAAAGUGGAAUUCCACGUGUAGCGGUGAAAUGCGUAGAUAUGUGGAGGAACACCAGUGGCGAAGGCGACUUUCUGGACUGUAACUGACGCUGAGGCGCGAAAGCGUGGGGAGCAAACAGGAUUAGAUACCCUGGUAGUCCGCGCCGUAAACGAUGAGUGCUAGGUGUAGAGGGUAUCGACCCCUUCUGUGCCGCAGUUAACACAAUAAGCACUCCGCCUGGGGAGUACGGCCGCAAGGUUGAAACUUAAAUGAA
RNAcentral lists this ribosomal RNA (564 nucleotides) under uncultured bacterium. RNAcentral's name for it is "partial 16S ribosomal RNA". It matches the Rfam family "Bacterial small subunit ribosomal RNA", at positions 355 to 909 of the family's 1533-position model. The record is from RNAcentral.